UACAGAGGGUGCGAGCGUUAAUCGGAAUUACUGGGCGUAAAGGGCGCGUAGGUGGUUUAUUAAGAUUGAUGUGAAAUCCCUGGGCUUAACCUAGGAACUGCAUCGAUGACUGAUAAGCUAGAGUACUGUAGAGGGUAGUGGAAUUUCCGGUGUAGCGGUGAAAUGCGUAGAGAUCGGAAGGAACACCAGUGGCGAAGGCGGCUACCUGGACAGAUACUGACACUGAGGCGCGAGAGCGUGGGGAGCAAACAGG
This 253-nucleotide ribosomal RNA is filed under the name uncultured bacterium. RNAcentral describes it as "partial 16S ribosomal RNA". It matches the Rfam family "Bacterial small subunit ribosomal RNA", at positions 524 to 776 of the family's 1533-position model. The record is from RNAcentral.